Molecule: small RNA, 1008 nt
Filed under: Rattus norvegicus (Norway rat)
Lineage: Eukaryota; Metazoa; Chordata; Mammalia; Rodentia; Muridae
Description: uncharacterized LOC102554419
Source: RNAcentral
CUGAACCUCUGAACUUGUAAGGCAGCUCCAAUGAAAUUUUGUCCUUUAUAAAACUCGCAUUGGUCAUGGUGUCUUUCCAUGGCAGUAAAACCCCUAACUAAGACCGAUGGGUUUCAUUAACACUUCCAAGCCUGGGCAUUUUGACCCAAGCAGAUGCAGAUUCUGUCCAGGCGUCCUACUGUGUGCCUCUGUGCCCAGCAGAAAAGGAAGAGAAAUGGGUUCUUCCACUUGAGGUGACAAAUUUCUGUUUUUGUUUCUGUUUUUCUUUUUAAUGUUUAUUAUUUUCCAGCCCCAACAUGAGCCCUGGGAAUAUAAGAUGAAUGUCAUGUCGUCCCUUCCUGAAGAGGCUGAAGGGAGCAAGGUGAACCCAAUGUGCACAGAACAAAUGCACUUUGCCCAGGUCUUCAGGCUGUCACUGCACUCUGGCGUGCACUUUCUGUUUUGAUGAGUCACUGCAGGUUUCCUUUUCCCCCUAUAUUUCUUUGAGGAGGCAGGUGCAAUUUAAUAUUUGUCCAUUUAAAAUGUUUCAUUGUUUAUAACAAAUAAAAAUCACACACAUUUACAAUGUCUCACCAAAUGUAUCGUUUUUUGUAAUAAGAACCCUUUAACAAUGUAGCCAUCUUGAAGGAGGCAAACUGCUGAGUGGGUAGAAGGCUCCGCUGUUAGGAACACGGGCUGCUCUUCCAGAGGGCAUCUCAGGAGCAUCUGGGAUUUCAGCCUAAGAGAUCUGACACCCUCUCCUGGCUCCCUCAGGCACCAGGCAUUCAUGCGGUGUACGGACGUACAGCAUAACUACAGACAUUUCUGCAGUGGAACGAAAGCAAACUCAGCCUCUUAGCUGCCUUUCUCUAGUAUCUCAUUGCAGCAACAUGAAGCAAACACUGAUGGACUUCAGCUCUCCAUUUCUGAGAUGAUGCCCGUGGAUGCUUACUGUAGCCUCCUGACCUUUGUGUUUCUGUGUGGAGCAGCAGCAAAUGGUUGGAACUGGAAAAUAUCAUCCUGAGUGAG